CAGAUGAUUAAAAGAACUGGAUGAACUUAUAGUUCAUAAAAAUGUUACUCUUAGAUGCGGAGAGAUGAAAUCGAGGUUAAAGAACCUGUAGAGGGUGGUGUUGCUCUACACUGACUCCAAAGUGGAUUCCAAACAACAGGAAGAGACAGGAUGACACAUCAACCUUCUUAAAGUUAUGUUUUAUCUUUAUGUGACUUGUUUUCUGCACGUCUGUCUGUUAAUAACCUUGUGCAGGAAAGCCCGGAGUUUCAGAGACAUGACACCAUGUUUGUGUGCAUGCGUACAAGGAAAAGAUGGGAAGGGUAUCGGCUUUCUAAAGCUAAAGUUAGAUGCAGCUAUGAGAGCUACUACAAGGCUACUAGAGCAGAGAGUGACUUUUUUUUUUUAAUGCAAAAUUUGAAUUCUGCUGCUUUGUAGCCAGUGUUUUUUGCCACACAAGGCUCCAAACAAAUGAAGACCAUCUUUAACCGACAGUCUAAACCUGUGUUACAUGAGACCUCUUGGAUGAUGUAGCCAAAAGCUUGGCAGCAGAAUCUGGACAAAGCAUUGCCAAGGCAGAGGACAGGGUAUUGCAAACUUGGAGUAAAACUUGUCUAAAACAGGCCUCUAUUGUAAAUGAGACAUUGAGUCUCAAUGGAAUUGCCUGUAUGAGAAUAGGUUAAACAAUAAAAUAAAACGCAUAUAAAGUUAUCUCACCUUUAGAUAAAGAGUGUGAAUUUAGCAAUAUCCCUUUCCUGGCAGAAAUAGAAGGGAAUAAGCAAUUCACAAGAUUGUUGAAAUUCAAAGCCUGGGAAGCACAAUGCAUACAGCCGGAGGCACAUGACAGAUCACAAGACAGAGAUUCAGUUACGGAGGUGUGAUACGGUAAGCAAGAAAGUCCUGUCUGACAGAUACAAAAGCUGUUCUAGAGAUACUUCCCCGCCUGAACCUCACAGCCAACAUACAGGUAUGCAUAUUAGGUUGUAAGUACUUGGAGAAUGGCAUAAUUUUUCCAAUUUUGUAAUCACAGUGGAUUAAAUUUUCAGACAUGAGGAUUGCUUUUAAUACUCAGUCAAUGACUGCCUGAAGUCUAGAAUCUGUGCACUUCACCAAAUAUGUUCUGCUAGGUCUUUACUACAGCAACCAUCAGUUGCUGCUCGCUUGUGGAUCUCUACCGCCCACCUUUAAUUUUUGUCUUCAGUAACUGCAAAGCAUGCUCUGUUGGGCUGCAGUCAGGUGACUGUGUUGACCAUUGAAUAAUAUCCAAUUUCUUUCCCUCAAGAAACUCAUCGGUUGCUUUUGGUCUUUGCUUUGGUUCAUUAUUGAUUUGCCCAGUGAAGUGUUAGCUAAUCGCUUUUUGGAGCAUUUAGCUAAAUCUGAGCAGAGAGUAUAACCCUGUACACUUCCGAAUUUUAUCUUUCUACUUCUAUUAGCAGUCACAUAAUAGUAAAUACCAGAGAUCCUGUUCUACUUGCAGCCACACAUACCAAUGCCGUAACGCCUCCUCCAACAUGUUUGAUAAUGUGGUUAAUCUUAGUUUCUUCUGUCCAAAGAAGAGCCAGUACAACCUCUUUUAGAUUUGUUCUGACAAAGUCUAAUCUGGUCUUUCUGUACUUGAAUGUAAGCAGUGGUUUGGACCUUGUUGUAAACCAAAUAUUGUAUAAACUUUUAUUUCAAUUCAUAAAGGUGUCUCUUCAUUGUAGACUUUAACAAUAACAGUUCACUGAGACUGUCCUCAACUUGUUUUGACAUAUUGUAAAGUGGUUUUCUUAAAGAACAAAUUUGGCGAUCAUUCACUUUAGCUAUCUUCCUUUUUCUUCUAGGAGUUUUGGUCUAACUGAUCUUAAUUCUGUUUGAGAAUUAUUUGGCCAAUCCUAAGUCCUAAAGUUUUUGCUGUAUAUUCGUUUGGAUUUUUCAGUCUAAAUACCAAUUCCAUCACUUGCAUCAACAUCUCUUUGAGCCUCAUAUGAGAGUUCCAAGAAUUGAACAUGCUCCCAAAUGCAAGUUCAACACUCACUGGGAAUCACUGACUGCAAAGUUUGUUAUGGAAUAAUCAGGGAAUAGAGUCACUUUGCUAUGAAACUACUUGUGAUUGUAAGACAGAUGUGAGCUGAUGACCAGUCAUUUUCCCUUAGAUUUUACCCAUCCAGCAAAACUGCUUAAAAGACAAUUUUGCCAAAUGGCUAAAUGCAGUUGAGAUUUUGUUAAAAACAAAAGAUAAAAAUUUUCAGGUUGAUGAAAAAAAAAAA
Molecule: long non-coding RNA, 2228 nt
Organism: Oreochromis aureus
Lineage: Eukaryota; Metazoa; Chordata; Actinopteri; Cichliformes; Cichlidae
Source: Ensembl